RNAcentral lists this transfer RNA (77 nucleotides) under Pseudobdellovibrionaceae bacterium. Its description in RNAcentral is "Bdellovibrionaceae bacterium tRNA-Arg". It matches the Rfam family "tRNA". From Rfam's summary of the family: Transfer RNA (tRNA) molecules are approximately 80 nucleotides in length. Their secondary structure includes four short double-helical elements and three loops (D, anti-codon, and T loops). RNAcentral also lists the same sequence under 1 other name. The record is from RNAcentral. Lineage: Bacteria; Pseudomonadati; Bdellovibrionota; Bdellovibrionia; Bdellovibrionales; Pseudobdellovibrionaceae.
GGUGGCGUAGCUCAAUUGGAUAGAGCAACGGCCUUCUAAGCCGUAGGUUGCAGGUUCGAUUCCUGCCGCCAUCACCA